This 497-nucleotide ribosomal RNA is filed under the name uncultured bacterium. Its description in RNAcentral is "partial 16S ribosomal RNA". It matches the Rfam family "Bacterial small subunit ribosomal RNA", at positions 28 to 507 of the family's 1533-position model. The record is from RNAcentral.
GAUGAACGCUGGCGGCGUGCCUAAUACAUGCAAGUCGAGCGAACAGACGAGGAGCUUGCUCCUCUGACGUUAGCGGCGGACGGGUGAGUAACACGUGGAUAACCUACCUAUAAGACUGGGAUAACUUCGGGAAACCGGAGCUAAUACCGGAUAACAUGUUGAACCGCAUGGUUCAACAGUGAAAGACGGUCUUGCUGUCGCUUAUAGAUGGAUCCGCGCCGCAUUGGCUAGUUGGUAAGGUAACGGCUUACCAAGGCAACGAUGCGUAGCCGACCUGAGAGGGUGAUCGGCCACACUGGAACUGAGACACGGUCCAGACUCCUACGGGAGGCAGCAGUAGGGAAUCUUCCGCAAUGGGCGAAAGCCUGACGGAGCAACGCCGCGUGAGUGAAGAAGGUCUUCGGAUCGUAAAACUCUGUUAUUAGGGAAGAACAAAUGUGUAAGUAACUAUGCACGUCUUGACGGUACCUAAUCAGAAAGCCACGGCUAACUACGUG